This 704-nucleotide ribosomal RNA is filed under the name uncultured Sphingomonas sp. RNAcentral's name for it is "bacterial SSU rRNA". It matches the Rfam family "Bacterial small subunit ribosomal RNA", at positions 28 to 776 of the family's 1533-position model. The record is from RNAcentral. Lineage: Bacteria; Pseudomonadati; Pseudomonadota; Alphaproteobacteria; Sphingomonadales; Sphingomonadaceae.
AACGAACGCUGGCGGCAUGCCUAACACAUGCAAGUCGAACGAGUGCCUUCGGGUGCUAGUGGCGCACGGGUGCGUAACGCGUGGGAAUCUGCCCUUUGGUUCGGAAUAACAGUUGGAAACGACUGCUAAUACCGGAUGAUGACGAAAGUCCAAAGAUUUAUCGCCAGAGGAUGAGCCCGCGUAGGAUUAGCUAGUUGGUGUGGUAAAGGCGCACCAAGGCGACGAUCCUUAGCUGGUCUGAGAGGAUGAUCAGCCACACUGGGACUGAGACACGGCCCAGACUCCUACGGGAGGCAGCAGUGGGGAAUAUUGGACAAUGGGCGAAAGCCUGAUCCAGCAAUGCCGCGUGAGUGACGAAGGCCUUAGGGUUGUAAAGCUCUUUUACCCGGGAUGAUAAUGACAGUACCGGGAGAAUAAGCUCCGGCUAACUCCGUGCCAGCAGCCGCGGUAAUACGGAGGGAGCUAGCGUUGUUCGGAAUUACUGGGCGUAAAGCGCACGUAGGCGGCUUUGUAAGUUAGAGGUGAAAGCCUGGAGCUCAACUCCAGAACUGCCUUUAAGACUGCAUCGCUUGAAUCCAGGAGAGGUGAGUGGAAUUCCGAGUGUAGAGGUGAAAUUCGUAGAUAUUCGGAAGAACACCAGUGGCGAAGGCGGCUCACUGGACUGGUAUUGACGCUGAGGUGCGAAAGCGUGGGGAGCAAACAGG